CACCAGCCCCUCGAGUGGUGGGGAUGAUUAUUUGGCCUAAAGCGUCCGUAGCCGGCCGGGUAAGUUUCCCGUUAAAUCCAGCGUCUCAAGCGUUGGACUGCGGGAAAUACUGCCUGGCUAGAGAGUGGGAGAGGUCAGCGGUAUUCUGGGGGUAGGGGCGAAAUCCUUUGAUCCCCGGAGGACACCAGUGGCGAAGGCUGCUGACUAGAACACGUCUGACGGUCAGGGACGAAAGCUGGGGGUAGCGAACCGGAUUAGAUACCCGGGUAGUCCCAGCCGUAAACGAUGCAUGCUAGGUGUUGGGUUGGCCACGAGCCACCCCAGUGCCGCAGGGAAGCCGUUAAGCAUGCCGCCUGGGAAGUACGAUCGCAAGAUUGAAACUUAAAGGAAUUGGCGGGGGGGCACCACCAGGCGUGAAGCCUGCGGUUU
RNAcentral lists this ribosomal RNA (429 nucleotides) under uncultured archaeon. RNAcentral describes it as "bacterial SSU rRNA". It matches the Rfam family "Archaeal small subunit ribosomal RNA", at positions 474 to 903 of the family's 1478-position model. The record is from RNAcentral.